RNAcentral lists this ribosomal RNA (35 nucleotides) under Halfordia kendack. Its description in RNAcentral is "partial 26S ribosomal RNA". The record is from RNAcentral. Lineage: Eukaryota; Viridiplantae; Streptophyta; Magnoliopsida; Sapindales; Rutaceae.
UGCGACCCCAGGUCAGGCGGGAUUACCCGCUGAGU